Molecule: ribosomal RNA, 469 nt
Filed under: uncultured bacterium
Lineage: Bacteria
Description: bacterial SSU rRNA
Rfam family: Bacterial small subunit ribosomal RNA
Source: RNAcentral
GACAAACGCUAGCGGCGUGUAUUAGGCAUGCAAGUCGCACGGUCACCUUCGGGUGGCAGUGGCGGACGGGUGAGUAACACGUGGGUAACCUGCCUCGCAGUGGGGAAUAACUCGCCGAAAGGCGAGCUAAUACCGCAUACCACUCCCGGUGAGACUCCGGGCAGUAAAAGUAGCAAUGCGCUGUGAGAGGGGCCCGCGGCCGAUUAGCUUGUUGGUGGGGUAAUGGCCUACCAAGGCUUCGACGGGUAGCUGGUCUGAGAGGACGAUCAGCCACACUGGCACUGCGACACGGGCCAGACUCCUACGGGAGGCAGCAGUAAGGAAUAUUGCGCAAUGGGCGAAAGCCUGACGCAGCGACGCCGCGUGGGGAUGAAAGUCUUCGGAUUGUAAACCCCUUUCGGGAGGGAAGAUGGAACGAGCAAUCGUUCGGACGGUACCUCCAGAAGCAGCCACGGCUAACUUCGUGCCA